GUGAUUUGAAGGCUAGUAGUUACACAUCACCCCAGCCAGCGGCCAAUGGUAGCUGCACGCCGGACGUGCAUUUGAGAGGAAACGUGAAAAAUGCGACGGAUGUUGUUGCCAUGGGUGUUGGGGCAACAGCGGAGGAGGUGGGAAGUGAAUAAAUGAAAUGAAUACAUGAAAUAUCUGGUGUGGCACCUACAUCUGCUUCCAGGUCCAUCAUGGCCAUACAGAGUGCUCCUUUGGAUAACAGACAAUCAAGUGAAAUUUACAGAAUUUACCAACCCUCCACCAUAUAACCCUCCACCCAUUUUAUAGAGUGGACCACCUCAUGUCAGCUCCCCUGGCUGUGAGACUCCUCCAUUUCUGGUGGGAGGGGUAGCGUCAGGAGGCCCAGAACUUUUUGCUACGCCCCCAAACGCACGUGACGAUGUGGAGUGACACGUUGUGCAGUGUGACGUUGCCGUAAAACGACAGCAGCUUAUUUAGUACAUGUCAGUAUUUAAAUGCUGUUUUGUAAAAGUUUGCCUUCAGCCUUUUAAUUCUGCCAGUCAGAGGCUUAAAAAAAUAGUGAUUAUUUAAAUUCAGGACAUACUGUUUUGGCUAAGAGAAACAAAUAUUUAUGAAGGCUCAGUGAGUAAUACUCCAUGCUGAAACCUCCAGGUACUCCCACCCUAACUGUGUGUGGAUAUGGCAUGUUCUCCCUGACAUGCUCUCCCACAGGCAGGUUGGGUGUCUCUUAAAAUGUCUGUCGUGUGAAUGUGCCAUGAUAAACUGGCAUCCCGUCCAUGGUGCACAUUCUGGAACAGACUCCAGGCUUAACGUGACUCUACUUUGAAUAAGUGGUUUAGGAAGACGGAUGAAUUUAAAUCCUGAAAUAAACAGUUGAAAUUUAAAACAUAGAAUGUCCCUAAUAUGUAUUUUAAAACUAUUACUAUACAAGUUAUUUUAGGUAUACAAGUAUAAACAUUUCAGAGCUCUGUUAAAGCUCUCAUGGUACUACAUACUAUAUCAAAAGGACAAGUUUGAACAAUGUCUCUUAUUCAAGGACACCAGUGAAAUGAUGGAAGUAAGGUAAAUCACAGCAACAGAAUCUUUGUAAUGUUUUAUUUGUUUCGCUUCAAUGGGUUUUACACCAUAUUUCAGGAACCAAAGCAAUUAACUAUAACAUAAAAUGCCACAUAAUAUAUUCACAAAUAAAACAUUCUAAAUGGUUACACUGAAAACAAAUGAAAUCCAAUAGGGGGAUCUUUAUUGUAUUAUUUUUGCAAACUGGAUGGACUACUGUGUUACAGACGGAAUAUGUUGCUACAGCAGUUCAGACGUGGUACCCACAGUAAUGUAUACUAGGGUUCUCUGUGGCACACAUAACACAGGCUUUUAUUCGCAGGGCAUUCCAAGCAAAAGAUGCAAGGACAUCCUGUUUCCAUGCCAGAGGUCAUAGUGUAUGCAAAUGGCUGCAAUAUAAAUGACAGCGUAAUGGAAAAAAGUUUGAAAAAAACCCAAAGUCAUAUUAGUAAGAUUAUAUACAAACUUUUAAAUUUUAUGAACACAUACAAAGAUGCGAAAAGUAAGGCAAAGUUAUAACCGUUAAAGUGAGUCUGCCUUCUGCUGUCUGCUUGGGGAUCGCUUCUCUGUUAGCUGUGUUGCAGCUAUAUCUAAGCUGUUCGCUCAAACUGAAGCAUCGUCAUAGCAAGUCUCCCUUACAGAAUCAUUGUCUUUCAAAUGUCCACAAACGCUGACUCGAUUCAAAUAACACAGUCUUUGUUUUGGUGUGAAAUGGAGGCAUUGUGGAUCUAAACUGAGUAUUUCCGAACCGACUGAAAAUAACAGGCGUUUGUACAUUAGCAUUGCUUGGUGAAAAUGAACUUUGCCAUAACCCAUGCAAUAUGCAAUGAGGUGUUUAUUUUUUACAUUUAUGGGAACAAAGUGCAAACCUAAAACUGCCGACACAAUCAAGAGCACCUUUUCUAGGUAUUCUAGCUUAUGCAAGUCUGUAGAAUUCUAGAUGUUAGACAGAUUAACAGUGCAUUGCAAGGGGAUGAGUACUUGUUUGCUCAACUAUUCUCAUUCGUUAAACAAACUGA
Molecule: long non-coding RNA, 2075 nt
Organism: Brienomyrus brachyistius
Lineage: Eukaryota; Metazoa; Chordata; Actinopteri; Osteoglossiformes; Mormyridae
Exons: 2
Source: RefSeq, a predicted model, not a curated record